RNAcentral lists this ribosomal RNA (425 nucleotides) under uncultured bacterium. Its description in RNAcentral is "bacterial SSU rRNA". It matches the Rfam family "Bacterial small subunit ribosomal RNA", at positions 359 to 776 of the family's 1533-position model. The record is from RNAcentral.
GAAUAUUGGACAAUGGGGGCAACCCUGAUCCAGCCAUGCCGCGUGUGUGAAGAAGGCUUUCGGGUUGUAAAGCACUUUCAGUGAGGAGGAAAACCUUCUGGUUAAUACCCAGGAGGCUUGACGUUACUCACAGAAGAAGCACCGGCUAACUCCGUGCCAGCAGCCGCGGUAAUACGGAGGGUGCAAGCGUUAAUCGGAAUUACUGGGCGUAAAGCGCGCGUAGGUGGUUUGAUAAGCGAGAUGUGAAAGCCCCGGGCUUAACCUGGGAACGCCAUUUCGAACUGUCAGGCUAGAGUGUGGUAGAGGGUAGUGGAAUUUCCUGUGUAGCGGUGAAAUGCGUAGAUAUAGGAAGGAACACCAGUGGCGAAGGCGGCUACCUGGACCAACACUGACACUGAGGUGCGAAAGCGUGGGGAGCAAACAGG